RNAcentral lists this ribosomal RNA (468 nucleotides) under uncultured bacterium. Its description in RNAcentral is "partial 16S ribosomal RNA". It matches the Rfam family "Bacterial small subunit ribosomal RNA", at positions 28 to 507 of the family's 1533-position model. The record is from RNAcentral.
GACGAACGCUGGCGGCGUGCUUAACACAUGCAAGUCGAACGGAAAGGCCCUGCUUUUGUGGGGUGCUCGAGUGGCGAACGGGUGAGUAACACGUGAGUAACCUGCCCUUGACUUUGGGAUAACUUCAGGAAACUGGGGCUAAUACCGGAUAGGAGCUCCUGCUGCAUGGUGGGGGUUGGAAAGUUUCGGCGGUUGGGGAUGGACUCGCGGCUUAUCAGCUUGUUGGUGGGGUAGUGGCUUACCAAGGCUUUGACGGGUAGCCGGCCUGAGAGGGUGACCGGGCACAAUGGGACUGAGAUAGGCCCCAGACUGCUACGGGAGGCAGCAGUGGAGAAUAUGGCACAAUGGGCGGAAGCCUGAUGCAGCAACGCCGCGUGCGGGAUGACGGCCUUCGGGUUGUAAACCGCUUUCGCCUGUGACGAAGCGUGAGUGACGGUAAUGGGUAAAGAAGCACCGGCUAACUACGUG